AACAGUAUGUGCUGAAAAUGAAUUUCUAAUGCCAGAAAAAUCUUAUGAUGGUCCACUGCCUAUCAAGAAGGCCAAAUACAAUGACUUGAAAGAUUUAAAGAUAUUUUGUAGUAGUGCUGCCCAAGAAUACUUCACCAAUCUUCCCCAUUUGGAUGAAUAAAAUUAGGGUCUUAAAUGAAGCAAUCCAAAUUAAAUUAUAUUUUCAAUGUGCUAAGUUUUAUAUGUAAAAUAAAUAUCUGUAUUAUUUUGGA
Molecule: long non-coding RNA, 251 nt
Organism: Homalodisca vitripennis (glassy-winged sharpshooter)
Lineage: Eukaryota; Metazoa; Arthropoda; Insecta; Hemiptera; Cicadellidae
Exons: 2
Source: RefSeq, a predicted model, not a curated record